CACGGUGAAUACGUUCCCGGGCCUUGUACACACCGCCCGUCACACCAUGGGAGUGGGUUGCAAAAGAAGUAGGUAGCUUAGCCUUCGGGAGGGCGCUUACCACUUUGUGAUUCAUGACUGGGGUGAAGUCGUAACAAGGUAACCGUAGGGGAACCUGCGGUUGGAUCACCUCCUUA
Molecule: ribosomal RNA, 176 nt
Filed under: Escherichia coli
Lineage: Bacteria; Pseudomonadati; Pseudomonadota; Gammaproteobacteria; Enterobacterales; Enterobacteriaceae
Description: partial 16S ribosomal RNA
Rfam family: Bacterial small subunit ribosomal RNA
Source: RNAcentral